This 437-nucleotide ribosomal RNA is filed under the name uncultured bacterium. Its description in RNAcentral is "bacterial SSU rRNA". It matches the Rfam family "Bacterial small subunit ribosomal RNA", at positions 30 to 469 of the family's 1533-position model. The record is from RNAcentral.
AUUGAACGCUGGCGGCAUGCCUUACACAUGCAAGUCGAACGGCAGCACGGGAGCAAUCCUGGUGGCGAGUGGCGAACGGGUGAGUAAUAUAUCGGAACGUGCCCAGUCGUGGGGGAUAACGUAGCGAAAGCUACGCUAAUACCGCAUACGAUCUAUGGAUGAAAGCGGGGGAUCGCAAGACCUCGCGCGAUUGGAGCGGCCGAUAUCAGAUUAGGUAGUUGGUGAGGUAAAGGCUCACCAAGCCGACGAUCUGUAGCUGGUCUGAGAGGACGACCAGCCACACUGGGACUGAGACACGGCCCAGACUCCUACGGGAGGCAGCAGUGGGGAAUUUUUGGACAAUGGGCGCAAGCCUGAUCCAGCAAUGCCGCGUGCAGGAUGAAGGCCUCGGUUGUAACUAGCUUUGUACGGUAACGAACGGUAGAGCUCUAAUACAG